Molecule: ribosomal RNA, 507 nt
Filed under: uncultured bacterium
Lineage: Bacteria
Description: bacterial SSU rRNA
Rfam family: Bacterial small subunit ribosomal RNA
Source: RNAcentral
GACGAACGCUGGCGGCGUGGAUUAGGCAUGCAAGUCGAACGGUAUCAUCCUUUCGGGGGUGAGAGAGUGGCGAACUGGUGAGUAACACGUAGGUUAUCUACCCUCAAGAUGGGGACAACCCAGGGAAACUUGGGCUAAUACCGGAUGUGAGCAACUUUUAGUUGUUUGAAAGGUGGCGUAAGCUGUCGCUUGGGGAUGAGCCUGCGUCCUAUUAGUUAGUUGGUGAGGUAACGGCUCACCUAGGCAAUGAUAGGUAGGCGGCCUUAACGGGUGGUCGCCCACACUGGGAUUGAGAUACGGCCCAGACUCCUACGGGAGGCAGCAGUCGAGAAUAGUCUACAAUGGUCGGAAGACUGAUAGUGCGACGCCGCGUGAACGAUGAAUCCCUUCGGGGUGUAAAGUUCUUUUAUAUGUGAGCAGUGCUUCUUAUAUUAACAGUAUGGGGAAAGAGAUAUUAGACAUAUAGAAUAAGCAACGGCUAACUCCGUGCCAGCACGCCGAGGUAAA